Molecule: long non-coding RNA, 277 nt
Filed under: Phoenix dactylifera (date palm)
Lineage: Eukaryota; Viridiplantae; Streptophyta; Magnoliopsida; Arecales; Arecaceae
Description: long non-coding RNA (PDAC_LNC017025)
Source: RNAcentral
AACGGCUGCAAAGCCGAUGGCGUGGAUCAAAUCCACUCGCACAAUCUCAUGUCAACCUUGAUCCUUACAGAGUCUUUCAGACAUUGCUCAAUUGUUUAGACAUGGGCUCAGCAUGAUACGUUCAAUUGAAGGAUCAUUUACUAUCCUUUCAAAAUAUAUGUUUCAAAUACAUGUCAAUGGCGUGAUAAACAAGGAGAUGGGAAGCCAAAACUUUAAGAGAUCAAUUAAAUAAUGAUUGAAUUCGUAGGCUUGGUACGAAUCUAUUUGAUUUCUACAA